Molecule: unclassified non-coding RNA, 395 nt
Filed under: soil metagenome
Description: partial contains 5.8S ribosomal RNA, internal transcribed spacer 2, and large subunit ribosomal RNA
Rfam family: 5.8S ribosomal RNA (bases 1-122)
Source: RNAcentral
GAUGAAGAACGUAGCGAAAUGCGAUACUUGGUGUGAAUUGCAGAAUCCCGUGAACCAUCGAGUCUUUGAACGCAAGUUGCGCCCGAAGCCAUCAGGUUGAGGGCACGUCUGCCUGGGCGUCACAUAUCGUUGCCCAAUGCCUAUUGCAGUGCAAUAGGAAUUUCUAGGGCGAAUGAUGGCUUCCCGUGAGCGUUGUUGCCUCGCGGUUGGUUGAAAAUCGAGUCAUUGGUAGGGUGUGCCAUGGUAGAUGGUGGUCGAGUUAGAACGAUACCGAUCAUGUGCAUGCUCCCCAAAAUAUGGCCUCUAUGACCCACACGCGUCUUUUGACGCUCAUGACGAGACCUCAGGUCAGGCGGGGCUACCCGCUGAAUUUAAGCAUAUCAAUAAUCGGAGGA